UGGCGAGCGGCGGACGGGUGAGUAAUGCAUAGGAAUCUGCCCGGUAGUGGGGGAUAACGUGGGGAAACCCACGCUAAUACCGCAUACGUCCUACGGGAGAAAGCGGAGGAUCUUCGGACUUCGCGCUAUCGGAUGAGCCUAUGUCGGAUUAGCUAGUUGGUAAGGUAACGGCUUACCAAGGCAACGAUCCGUAGCUGGUCUGAGAGGAUGAUCAGCCACACUGGGACUGAGACACGGCCCACACUCCUACGGGAGGCAGCAGUGGGGAAUAUUGGACAAUGGGCGAAAGCCUGAUCCAGCCAUGCCGCGUGUGUGAAGAAGGCUUUCGGGUUGUAAAGCACUUUCAGCGAGGAAGAAAGCCUCUGGGUUAAUACCCCAGAGGAAGGACAUCACUCGCAGAAGAAGCACCGGCUAACUCCGUGCCAGCAGCCGCGGUAAUACGGAGGGUGCGAGCGUUAAUCGGAAUUACUGGGCGUAAAGCGCGCGUAGGUGGCUUGGCACGCCGGUUGUGAAAGCCCCGGGCUCAACCUGGGAACUGCAUCCGGAACGGCCAGGCUAGAGUGCAGGAGAGGAAGGUAGAAUUCCCGGUGUAGCGGUGAAAUGCGUAGAGAUCGGGAGGAAUACCAGUGGCGAAGGCGGCCUUCUGGCCUGACACUGACACUGAGGUGCGAAAGCGUGGGUAGCAAACAGGAUUAGAUACCUCUGGUAGUCCACGCCGUACACGAUGUCGACUAGCCGUUGGGACCUUU
Molecule: ribosomal RNA, 749 nt
Filed under: uncultured bacterium
Lineage: Bacteria
Description: bacterial SSU rRNA
Rfam family: Bacterial small subunit ribosomal RNA
Source: RNAcentral